CGUAGGGUGCGAGCGUUAUCCGGAAUUAUUGGGCGUAAAAGAGCUCGUAGGCGGUUUGUCGCGUCUGUCGUGAAAGUACCGGGGCCGUUAACCCCGGAGUCUGGCGGUGGGUACGGGCAGACUAGAGUGCAGUAGGGGAGACUGGAAUUCCUGGUGUAGCGGUGGAAUGCGCAGAUAUCAGGAGGAACACCGAUGGCGAAGGCAGGUCUCUGGGCUGUAACUGACGCUGAGGAGCGAAAGCAUGGGGGAGCGAACAGGAUU
RNAcentral lists this ribosomal RNA (261 nucleotides) under uncultured bacterium. Its description in RNAcentral is "partial 16S ribosomal RNA". It matches the Rfam family "Bacterial small subunit ribosomal RNA", at positions 526 to 779 of the family's 1533-position model. The record is from RNAcentral.